Molecule: ribosomal RNA, 377 nt
Filed under: uncultured bacterium
Lineage: Bacteria
Description: bacterial SSU rRNA
Rfam family: Bacterial small subunit ribosomal RNA
Source: RNAcentral
AAUGAACGUUGGCGGCGUGGAUUAGGCAUGCAAGUCGAGCGAGUCUGUCUUGUAGCAAUAUGAGGCAAGUCGAGCGGCGUAAGGGGCAGUAAUACCUGGGAACGUACCCUGAGGUCGGGGAUAGCUGCUAGAAAUGGCGAGUAAUACCCGAUGAUCUCGAGAGAGCAAAGGCUUGCCGCCUUAGGAGCGGCCCAGGCGAUAUUAGCUAGUUGGUGAGGUAAUGGCUUACCAAGGCAAAGAUGUCUAGCGGGUGUGAGAGCACGACCCGCGCCACUGGCACUGAGACACUGGCCAGACACCUACGGGUGGCUGCAGUCGAGAAUCUUCGGCAAUGAGCGCAAGCUUGACCGAGCGACGCCGCGUGCGGGAUGAAGGCC